Molecule: long non-coding RNA, 692 nt
Filed under: Homo sapiens (human)
Lineage: Eukaryota; Metazoa; Chordata; Mammalia; Primates; Hominidae
Description: HSALNT0160846
Source: RNAcentral
UCCCUGGUGCUUGCUCUCAGGCCUUAGUUGUUAAUCGUGUUCCAUGAAAGAAACAGUGCACGCUGACCCUCGACACUGAGGAGCACGAUUCACUUCGACAGUUAGAACCCUAGCAACUUCUGCAACCUUGAGAGUUCAAGGACUGCAACAAAGACAAUCAGUGGAGAACCAUCGCGCCUGCAGUUUUCUCGGGAGAAUUGAACUGCAUGUGAUUGGACAGCAAGAGAGUGGGCAAGCCAGGGACAGCCACCACAGUUAAAGUACUGUGGGCCAUGCCUUCAUGCCCCCCUCACUCAUGGAAUUUUUCUGGACUGAGCCAGAGUCUGGAGAGGUGGUGCAGCUGUUCCCUAAGUGAGUGGGGUUCCCCUACCUUUCACUCAGGGAAUGUUUAAUGUUUUCCUUUUACAAUUUCCUUCUUCAGCUUCCCUCUCUCCUAAUGAUGAAUCCUGUAAACUUUUGCUUUGCCUAUGUUCUGCUGGAAACCAUGUUACUGUGUACUUUGAAGACAUUACUCCGUAGCAGGAGGCAGGGUGGGAGGUGCUCUGGGGAAUGACAGCAGGCCUUGGCUGGGGGAAACUGACACCAGCUGGAGGAGACAGCCCCAGGCAGGGAAUCCAGCAGCAGAGAGCUCACCCCAAAGUGAUGAAGGUUGCGUGGAGCUUGCAGGCUGCUGGGGGGAGGAAUGUGGUCAC